Molecule: transfer RNA, 88 nt
Filed under: Spiroplasma ixodetis
Lineage: Bacteria; Bacillati; Mycoplasmatota; Mollicutes; Entomoplasmatales; Spiroplasmataceae
Also listed under: 3 other names
Description: tRNA-Leu
Rfam family: tRNA
About the family: Transfer RNA (tRNA) molecules are approximately 80 nucleotides in length. Their secondary structure includes four short double-helical elements and three loops (D, anti-codon, and T loops). Further hydrogen bonds mediate the characteristic L-shaped molecular structure. tRNAs have two regions of fundamental functional importance: the anti-codon, which is responsible for specific mRNA codon recognition, and the 3' end, to which the tRNAs corresponding amino acid is attached (by aminoacyl-tRNA synthetases). tRNAs cope with the degeneracy of the genetic code in two manners: having more than one tRNA (with a specific anti-codon) for a particular amino acid; and 'wobble' base-pairing, i.e. permitting non-standard base-pairing at the 3rd anti-codon position.
Source: RNAcentral
GCCCAGGUGGUGAAAUGGCAGACACGUCGGGCUUAAGAUCCGAUGACUUUUACAGGUUGUGCGAGUUCGAGUCUCGCUCUGGGCACCA